This 259-nucleotide long non-coding RNA is filed under the name Gallus gallus (chicken). The record is from RNAcentral. Lineage: Eukaryota; Metazoa; Chordata; Aves; Galliformes; Phasianidae.
GAGGUUUCUGGCUGCAGGUGAUUUAUCAGGUGCCACUGCUUUGUGCCUUCCACAACAUCCCUCUUGUAGUCGCUGUCGUUGUCGCUGUCGGUGGGCCGAUAAUAGAUGUAGAAGCCUUGGAUGGGGGUGUUGUUGUUGCUUGACGUAAUGUACGUCCACUUCAACAUGAUCUGAGUGUCACUGAUGGCUUCAGUGUAAGCAAUGUGGGGCCCGGCGAUGGGGCGGCUGGAGAAGCGCUGGGUGAAGCCUGCGACCUGGU